This 716-nucleotide long non-coding RNA is filed under the name Acromyrmex echinatior (Panamanian leafcutter ant). RNAcentral's name for it is "uncharacterized LOC105152901, transcript variant X1". The record is from RNAcentral. Lineage: Eukaryota; Metazoa; Arthropoda; Insecta; Hymenoptera; Formicidae.
UACAAGCCGUGGUAAAAUGGGAUCCGAAAUUUUAUAGUGAUUCUGCGUAUGCGUCGCGAUAUACGAAGGAAUGCAAUAUGGAUAUGUCCUGCGGCAGCUGUGUAUGCUUGUGAUAAACAUGAUCUUUCUUGAUGUGAGGUUAAUGUAAUUUUCAAAUUGUAUCAAUUACAUUAUCAGCAAAGUGCCUUCUCAACUUGUUCCAGUACACAAAGCAUAGACAAACUAGGUUUUUUCUAAUCGUCAAGAAAAAUAAGCUGAUUCCUGUUAAUCCCGAGUGCAAGGAUUCAUACCUGGGGCGACAAAUAGAAGAAAAUAAACUGAAAUACUUGUCGAAAAGUAAUAUUUGGAAGCCUUUUAUAAAAGAUAUGAAUUUUAAAGGCGCAAAAUGCAAAGUGUGUGAACAAUUUAUACAAAGCUCCGGAAACAAUCAUUUACAGCGAAAGCAUCCAGAUAUUUAUGCUAUCGAAAUGAUAACUUUUGACACUUCUGAUAGUGUCACGAAAACGAAAGAAAACGACAAAUGAUACUACAUCUAAAGAAAGUUGUAAUGAAUUAGAUGACGCUAUCUCCACCAUCUCCAGCACUGUCAAUAUUGCCAACAAGUAUGACAUCGUCGGUACAUGUGAAUUCAUUGAAAUCGUUAAAACAGCCGAGACUAAAAGAUAUUUUUUUGAAACAAAAAUCAUUUCUACAACACAUUACAGAUUAAAAAAUAA